UAGGUUUUCAAUGUCGACGAACAUAGGGUGAGUUCUCUGGUUUCCACAAAAAAAAUUCUCGUUUAUCUUCUUGAUUAUGCCUUCUGCGUCACUUUCUAUCCCAUGUUGUCUGCAAAGCUUCUUUUAUAGCGCGAGUUUCUUCCUUUUCUGCAGAAAAACACAGAAUGUAAAUUGCUUCUGUUAUCAAAAAUUGGUGCCUAGAAUUUCUGAAGAUAAAUCUAAUUCCCCCAUUCGUUGAGUAGAUGUUCCAAGCCCCAUUACAGUUUAUUUUUAUCCUAUCACUAUGAGGAGGAUUCCAGGUAGAUUGAUUUGGUGCAACAAUUAUGGCAGAGAUUUCAAAGAGAUAUGGUUGGUUAAUUUCUCCGCACCGGCAGCAUUGCUUUUGCUCUAGCCAAAAUUGAACUCGGUUCUUCGAUUUUCCCAUGGUGAACAAUUUCAUUUAUGCUGGUCCAGAUUGACCAAAUCAUACUUGCAACCAUCGGAAACAAUUCAAUUCUAUUGGAGUCAUCGUUAUAGGGGUUCAAUUGCAGCCAGUAUCUCACCCAUUCAACAAAGGGCAGAUGAAUUCUGAAAUAUGCAUUCUUUGGUGUUGGAUUAAUCUCACAGGAAGAUCUCCUUUCAAGGCCUUCCAUACAAAGAGCUUAAUCCUUACAGACAUUCUUUCUCUUUUUUGACUUGGGAUCCUCUCCCCACCAAUAUAUAUAAGGUGAGUGUCAGUUAUGUAUUGUUUUAAUUUCUGUUCAUGGUUUGGUUUUUGCUGUAUUGCUAUUUUGGUUUUGUUUGUUUGGGUUUUGGGUUGUUUGUGCAUCUAUCAUUGGGGUUUUGAUGAAAAAAGAGACCGUCAAUUAGCAUCAUUUUCAACUCCGAUCUACAGGAAAAGUGCAGUUUCAGCAUCAACUCCGGCGGCUUUGGUUACAUCGGCGUUCUUCAUCAGCUCUGGAUAUCCCCUGGUUUUUCAAUUAGGGUUUCUUCUUGAUCUAUUUUCAACUAGAUCAAUUUUUAUUUCGGCUGUUAGAACUAGUUUUACGUCUAAGUUAAAUCUUUUCUUUCCUUAUUUAGUCCCUGUAAUCUUUGGUCUUGUGACCCUUUCUUUGGAUUUGAUCUCCGAGUUUGGUGUUUGGUUUCUGAUGGUUGUUGGCUUAAAGACUAAGUUGUUAUGCGUCUUCUCCAAUGGGAAAUAGAGUUUUGUCGUCGCCGGCGGACUUUAUUUGUACCAGUUAAAGAAGAUGAGUAUCAAGAUGAAUCUUAUGGUAUCUUUUCCUUUGGAAUAGAUUUCUAUCAGAUGGUUUUAAAAAUUAUUGUUCUUCUGAGCCGUGAGUCAUGUAUCACCGAUUCAAGUUCUCUCGUAAAGACGGGCGUCGUUGUUCUACGGUUACAGUUUGAUGGUCGGGUGGAGAUUCAGGAUUCUGGUUACGAGAUGAUUCGGGUUACGGGAUUCAGUUUGGAAAUUAUUUAACUUUAGACUCUGUUUGUUUUGGAUUCUCUGUGUAACAUCGGUUUCCUGUUUAUUUAUUAA
This is a long non-coding RNA of Papaver somniferum (opium poppy), 1516 nucleotides long. RefSeq lists it as uncharacterized. Lineage: Eukaryota; Viridiplantae; Streptophyta; Magnoliopsida; Ranunculales; Papaveraceae. The record is from RefSeq and is a predicted model, not a curated record. The transcript has 3 exons.